Molecule: long non-coding RNA, 1116 nt
Filed under: Rosa chinensis
Lineage: Eukaryota; Viridiplantae; Streptophyta; Magnoliopsida; Rosales; Rosaceae
Description: sRNA RchiOBHm_Chr5g0059121
Source: RNAcentral
UUACACAAUGCCAUAAAAAUUUUCUCUUCCGUGUUCACCUCUCUUCAUUUCGGAAAUACCGUCUUCAUGACUGUGGUUUGAUCUCUCUCUCUGACUGCCUUCAUCUCGCCUCUCAUCUGUGUUCGAAAUCGAAGCCUCAAUCCUUGAUGGCUGGCUGCUUGGCAAUUUGAUUCAGGAUAUUGUACUAUUUUUCUUGGUUGACUCUAAGCAAGUAUUUGAGGUUUGCUGAAGCUGAUGUCUCACAAGCUUCAGGAGAAAACAAUGAGUUUCACCCCAGAAAGUUAAGUGUCAGCAUUGAUGUUCCUGGGAAAGAUACAUAUCAUUUUAGGCCUCACUAAGAGAUGGCUGCUUCGUACAGAACCCAAUCCGCUAAGAGAUGGCUUCCUUUUGAAGCUAAUCCAGAUGUUAUGAACCAGAAAUAACUCAAUGGAGUCGGAAAUUGGAAGGACAAGAUGUGCAGGUGUUUCUUUGUGCUAGCUGCUCUCAAGUUCCCUCCACACAAGUGGCCUAUAGAAGCAAAUAUAUGUGCAUAUCAAUUUCUUGUUAGGAGCCACAAAACAAAAUAAUGUAUCGUUGUUUUCUCUGUGUGCCAACUACAGAGACUGAUCUACACCUAAUGAUUUUUGAGUAAAUAUGUGUAAAUCUCAUGCUUGUCAAUGACAAUUUGUGAAAUAGUUAGUCAUGAUUCUUAGAAUAAGAGUAUUAUCUACCUUGUAAUAAACCUUCUCUUCACUCCGGCGGUCUGGCCAUACUCUUUGCUAUCAUCACCUAGAACCUAUCUUGUACAUGUCUAGGAACUAGUAAUAUGCGUACCUCCACUUCGUCACAAGCACUAAAGGGCCAGAAACUCUCCAAAAUCCUAUUUUGAACCCAAAUGCAACAGAAACAUAAAACCAUGGAAAUUGAUGCUCCAUCUCUGCAUCUUAGGUGUUCAUAUCAGGUGCGUCAAUCCCUUAGCUGUCUGACACUUUUGGAAGUGUGGCACCAGAGAGUUUCAGAUCUUCCUUAAACGCAGAAACACUGAAACUUUGGAGAUAAGUACUUGAUGAGUUGGAUGGGUCAAGUGGUGGGAUAGAGAUGGAUAAUGAUGUAGAAAAAGAAUAUCAUGGUCAUGGU